CUAGCGACUUCAGAGUUUGAUCCUGGCUCAGGAUGAACGCUAGCGGCAGGCCUAACACAUGCAAGUCGAGGGGAUUAUAAAGUAAGCUUGCUUACUUUAUAUGAGACCGGCGCACGGGUGCGUAACGCGUAUGCAACCUACCACUAACAGGGGGAUAACACGGAGAAAUCGGUACUAAUACCCCAUAAUACUUCGAGAGGCAUCUUUUGAAGUUGAAAGCUCCGGCGGUUAGUGAUGGGCAUGCGUUGUAUUAGAUAGUUGGUGAGGUAACGGCUCACCAAGUCGACGAUACAUAGGGGGACUGAGAGGUUAGCCCCCCACACUGGUACUGAGACACGGACCAG
RNAcentral lists this ribosomal RNA (344 nucleotides) under uncultured bacterium. RNAcentral's name for it is "bacterial SSU rRNA". It matches the Rfam family "Bacterial small subunit ribosomal RNA", at positions 1 to 334 of the family's 1533-position model. The record is from RNAcentral.